This 801-nucleotide long non-coding RNA is filed under the name Homo sapiens (human). RNAcentral's name for it is "HSALNT0325710". Lineage: Eukaryota; Metazoa; Chordata; Mammalia; Primates; Hominidae. The record is from RNAcentral.
GAAUGGUAGAAAGCAGUCUUCAGCCUGAGACCCAUCCCUAGACUCUAUGGCACAAAGAGGCACUACAGAAAAUCCCAGAAUUUAUUCUGACUGAAGCAAUAUGCAACUGGCAAAACUGGCAGCUGAAAGGAUCCUGAAUAAGAAGGAUUUUAAAUGCCGUUUUGGCACAGGAUGUCAGAGCACAAGCAUGGUGAAGAGGAAUCUGUGUCAGGAAGAAGGUGGAAGAGAUAUGACAUUGGUCAAACAGAGAAUUGAUAAAAUAAGAAAACAAGUUGAAAAACUAAAACAAAACCAGGUGCCAAAUUUCUCAAAGCCAGAGAAUGGAUUAAAAAUAUGGAAUGGAAAUAAACAAGUAUGAAGCCUGAUGAUUAAACUGGAUGUAUCAGUAAUGAAAUCAUGGAAUCUAAAAAAAAUCAAUAUAAAUGUAUGUAUGCAUAUAUGGAGAGAGAGAGACAGAGAAACAGACAGAGGGAGAGGCCAAGCAACUGGUACAAGUGAUACCCUAAUCGCAAUGAGGACACUGAACCCCCAGAUCUUGGUUCUCAAUAACAUGCUCCAUUGAAAAGAAUGAGGCCUGAUUCUGGAGCUGGUGCAGAAAAAUUACAAGAUGAUCCUGGAAUAUAUAUUGUUAAAAAUUAAGACAAUGUUGAAAGGAUAAUAAGGUCAUCCUGAAAGAUUAAAUUGUUGUCAGUUUGAGAAUUUAAAUAAUUAAUGGCAAAAUGGAUUACUACUCAUUGAAUCAAAGAGAAAAACAUGAGCCCAUAUUGUUAUAAAUACGUAAAUGCAUAUAUUGAAAGCUUA